Molecule: long non-coding RNA, 1513 nt
Organism: Condylostylus longicornis
Lineage: Eukaryota; Metazoa; Arthropoda; Insecta; Diptera; Dolichopodidae
Exons: 3
Source: RefSeq, a predicted model, not a curated record
GUGGCCUAAAAAUAAUUCGAGAAAAAAAAACUGGGUCGGAUUGGAAUCUCUCUUAAUCAGUUUUUAAGAAAAAACCAAAUAUGUAAACUACAUUUACCGAGUGAACAUAUUGUAGCAUUGCCACUUCUCAAAAAGAAAUCGAGGAAUUAUCUAAUGUUAUCAUAGCAAAAAUAAAAGUGACUAUGUCUAUAACAAUAAUGUAAGUUUGUUAAAAACAAAACAGUAUAACAGCUCUGCAACAUUUCGAGAUAUAAUACUUGGUAAACUCGCAUAAAGGUAAUGACCACGUUUCUACUGACGUCCAAUCAUAGUUAUCAAUAAAACAUAAUUGAAUGAAUAAAUAACGACUUCAGCAAUUUCAUUGUAGGAAAGUUUGAUAAGCAACUCGAUUGCAGGAAAGUUUGAUAAGCAAUUCCUUUGCAAGAAAUUUUGAUCAGCUAGCCAUGGUAGAGAAAAAUAACUUUGACACACAUUGCAUACAUGAAUAUGUGCAAUCUCUUAAUACCGAAUCCGAGGCUACAAAUAAAGUGUCACCGGCAAUCACAAAGAAUUUGUAUCGAAAUGGGAUUUUCACAUUAUUUUUGGUAAACUCCAACCAUUGUCUUUUUGGAUUAAGACUUGGUUCACUCGAUUGAAACUGUAAAAGAGACUUCAGGGCCACAUACAUUUAAUCAAUAUUAUUUAAAAUAAGAUCACUAGAAAUUAGAAACAAAUUUCGUUUUAAUUUAAGGAAGUUCUAAAUGCAAUAUUUUUUUUAUAUAAUCAAGCAUAUAUUUUUUUCGUGUUCAGAAGAUACUAUUCAACUGUGUAUAGAAAAUAAUACUGAAUACUGACAGCUUUACAAAAAUUUUGUAGUAUAUACGGCAAUAACAACAAAAUCUGUAAUACAAUCAGAAAGAAGAAGCAAAAGAAAAAAAAUGGGUUUUUUUUCUAUAUCAUUAAUACAGAACGAACGAUACGUGAAAGGAAAUGAGGUUGACAGAGAGCAAGAGGAAUUUUAACGAGCUCUAGAUUGUUAUGUAGUAAAGAAAAAAAAAAUUUUUUAAAACGGCAAUGGAAGUGCUUGUACUGCUUGCAAUACAUAUAGCAAAAACAGAAUGUAGAUAGCAAUGGUAGAGAAACUUCAAUAUACAACUUGAUGGAAAAUAAAUGUAGAAAGGCAGCAGAAGAGUAGUAUGCGCCAGAAUGAACAGUAAAAGCCUCUUUAAUACCUAUAUUUAAUCAGUUGGAAGCUUACAUAUUUUACCUUCAAAAAUUGUAAUCAAAAGAAAUAAGUAAUGUGUUUCCAAAUAAUUUUGUUAUUAGAAUAAAAUUAUUUGCAGCUUAGAGUAGAGAAGUAUUGAUUAUUUUUUCAAGUUUCACAAUACACAAACAUACAUAUGUAUAUGAAUAUUUUAUGUAUUAUGUUUUGUAUAAUUUCGCUCAUAUGAAAUGAGUUGUGUUAAUGAGAAAUAGUUGAUUUCAAAAUAAAACAAAGAUAAAGUUAAGAAAAACACAGUUGUUGUUUGUGUUG